UUUAGGGAGACCGAACCCAUCAAACAGUCGAAAGUAAAAAGCUCAUAGGCAAAAUUGAUGAGGUCAUCCUAGGUCGGAGCGAAGCAAUCAGUGUGAGGCUUUCUAACUAUAAUUAAGGUUUGGCAAAAGGGGCUAUUAGCUCAGGUGGUUAGAGCGCACCCCUGAUAAGGGUGAGGUCCCUGGUUCGAGUCCAGGAUGGCCCACCUGAACAAGUCAAAAGUCAAAAGCUAAAAGUCAAAAAAUAAGUAUUGACAAUUAGACAGAUCGUUUUGGACUUGAAAUUAGGGGGUAUAGCUCAGUUGGUAGAGCGCCUGCUUUGCAAGCAGGAUGUCAGCGGUUCGAGUCCGCUUACCUCCACCAAAAAGAGCUAAAUUAGGUCUAACAAAAGUCAAGACGCAAUCGAGCGUGCUAGACUAGAACAGGUGAAGUUUUCAGCACCAUGACAGGGAAACAAUGUCAGAAUGCUGAAAAAAUAAUUCAGCCAGAACCUUGAAAACUGCAUAGCAACAACAAUAGCAGGCAGAUACAAAAAGUAUCUGACAUGUAAAAAACUGGUCAAGCUACAAAGGGCU
This 572-nucleotide transfer RNA is filed under the name Aliterella antarctica CENA408. RNAcentral's name for it is "16S-23S ribosomal RNA intergenic spacer". The stretch from base 285 to 357 matches the Rfam family "tRNA". The record is from RNAcentral. Lineage: Bacteria; Bacillati; Cyanobacteriota; Cyanophyceae; Chroococcidiopsidales; Aliterellaceae.